AGAGUUUGAUCAUGGCUCAGGACGAACGCUGGCGGCGUGCUUAACACAUGCAAGUCAAGGGGGCCCAGCAAUGGGCAACCGGCGAACGGGUGCGUAACACGUGAGCAACCUACCGAACUGUGGGGGAUAGCCGGCCUAACGGCCGAGUAAUACCGCAUACGCUCUCAGAGAGGCAUUUUUUUGAGAGGAAACCUACGGGACAGAUCGAGGGGCUCGCGGCCUAUCAGCUAGUUGGCGAGGUAACGGCUCACCAAGGCAACGACGGGUAGCUGGUCUGAGAGGAUGGCCAGCCACAUUGGGACUGAGAUACGGCCCAGACUCCUACGGGAGGCAGCAGUGGGGAAUCUUGCGCAAUGGCCUAACGGCUGACGCAGCGACGCCGCGUGUGGGAUGAAGCUCCUCGGAGUGUAAACCACUGUUGCCCGGGACGAAUAGCUCGAUUAAUCGAGCCUGACGGUACCGGGUGAGGAAGCACCGGCUAACUCCGUGCCAGCAGCCGCGGUAAUACGGGGGGUGCGAGCGUUGUCCGGAAUCACUGGGCGUAAAGGGCGCGUAGGUGGUUUGAUAAGGGUGUGGUGAAAGUCCGGGGCUCAACCCCGGAUCUGCCGUGCCGACUGUCAAACUCGAGGGCUGUAGAGGCAGGCGGAAUUCCGGGUGUAGCGGUGGAAUGCGUAGAGAUCCGGAGGAAGACCGGUGGCGAAGGCGGCCUGCUGGGCAGUUUCUGACACUGAUGCGCGACAGCGUGGGGAGCAAACAGGAUUAGAUACCCUAGUAGUCC
RNAcentral lists this ribosomal RNA (778 nucleotides) under uncultured bacterium. RNAcentral describes it as "bacterial SSU rRNA". It matches the Rfam family "Bacterial small subunit ribosomal RNA", at positions 8 to 796 of the family's 1533-position model. The record is from RNAcentral.